AUGCCGCGUGUGUGAAGAAGGCCUGAGGGUUGUAAAGCACUUUCAGUGGGGAGGAGGAUAGCAUGGUUAAGAGCUGAGCUAUUGGACGUUACCUACAGAAGAAGCACCGGCUAACUCCGUGCCAGCAGCCGCGGUAAUACGGAGGGUGCGAGCGUUAAUCGGAAUUACUGGGCGUAAAGGGUGCGUAGGUGGUUAAAUAAGUUAGAUGUAAAAACCCUGGGCUUAACCUAGGACUGAGAUUUAAUACUGUUUAACUAGAGUAUGGGAGAGGGUAGUGGAAUUUCCGGUGUAGCGGUGAAAUGCGUAGAGAUCGGAAGGAACACCAGUGGCGAAGGCGGCUACCUGGCCUAAUACUGACACUGAGGCACGAAAGCGUGGGGAGCAAACAGGAUUAGAUACCCUGGUAGUCCACGCUGUAAACGAUGUCAACUAGCCGU
This 437-nucleotide ribosomal RNA is filed under the name Legionella sp. RNAcentral describes it as "bacterial SSU rRNA". It matches the Rfam family "Bacterial small subunit ribosomal RNA", at positions 394 to 823 of the family's 1533-position model. Lineage: Bacteria; Pseudomonadati; Pseudomonadota; Gammaproteobacteria; Legionellales; Legionellaceae. The record is from RNAcentral.